Molecule: non-coding RNA, 54 nt
Organism: Salmo salar (Atlantic salmon)
Lineage: Eukaryota; Metazoa; Chordata; Actinopteri; Salmoniformes; Salmonidae
Source: Rfam
UGCAUUCGCUACUGUAAGUCGCUCUGGAUAAGAGUGUCUGCAAAAUGACCAAAA